UACGAAGGGGGCUAGCGUGGUUCGGAAUUACUGGGCGUAAAGCGCGCGCAGGCGGCUAUCCAAGUCAGUGGUGAAAGCCCGGAGCUCAACUCCGGAACUGCCAUUGAAACUGUUUAGCUGGAGUAUGAGAGAGGUGAGUGGAAUUCCCAGUGUAGAGGUGAAAUUCGUAGAUAUUGGGAAGAACACCGGUGGCGAAGGCGGCUCACUGGCUCAUUACUGACGCUCAUGCUCGACAGCGUGGGGAUCAAACAGG
Molecule: ribosomal RNA, 253 nt
Filed under: uncultured bacterium
Lineage: Bacteria
Description: partial 16S ribosomal RNA
Rfam family: Bacterial small subunit ribosomal RNA
Source: RNAcentral